Molecule: small nuclear RNA, 104 nt
Organism: Hypanus sabinus (Atlantic stingray)
Lineage: Eukaryota; Metazoa; Chordata; Chondrichthyes; Myliobatiformes; Dasyatidae
Source: RefSeq, a predicted model, not a curated record
GUGCUUGCUUUGGCAGCACAUAUACUAGAGCUGGAAUGAUACUGAGAUUAGCAUGGCCCCUGUACAAGGAUGACAUACAAAUUUGUGAAGCAGUUCAUAUUUUG